RNAcentral lists this unclassified non-coding RNA (281 nucleotides) under uncultured fungus. RNAcentral's name for it is "partial contains small subunit ribosomal RNA, internal transcribed spacer 1, and 5.8S ribosomal RNA". The stretch from base 1 to 73 matches the Rfam family "Eukaryotic small subunit ribosomal RNA", at positions 1759 to 1831 of the family's 1831-position model. The record is from RNAcentral. Lineage: Eukaryota; Fungi.
UCAAACUUGGUCAUUUAGAGGAAGUAAAAGUCGUAACAAGGUCUCCGUUGGUGAACCAGCGGAGGGAUCAUUACAGAGUUGCAAAACUCCCAAACCAUUGUGAAUUCUAUCCUUUAGAAGUUGCUUCGGCGGGCGGUCCCGGGGAGGGACCGCGGCCCGCGAGGGCGCCCGCCGGAGCCACGCAAACCUCUUGUUAUCAAAGCCUCUCUGAGCACCGAUACAAAUGUGUCAAAACUUUCAACAACGGAUCUCUUGGUUCUGGCAUCGAUGAAGAACGCAGC